GCCGGCAAAACCAUAUGGGUCACCUGAGGGACCAGCGCCAGAGCUGGAAGGAUCAAAAGUAUCUACCUCUGCAGGAUCUCUGCCCAAAUGCCGAAUGAAAAGAUGUGACCGGUCCAGCUGCCGAGUCAAUCUGUCAAUCUGUGUCACAUGAGUCGGAUCUCUGACACAGGCUAGCCAAUCCGUCAUCAUCACGGAUCCUGG
RNAcentral lists this long non-coding RNA (201 nucleotides) under Panax ginseng (ginseng). RNAcentral describes it as "long non-coding RNA (PGIN_LNC005695)". The record is from RNAcentral. Lineage: Eukaryota; Viridiplantae; Streptophyta; Magnoliopsida; Apiales; Araliaceae.